AUUCGCGGCCUAUCAGCUUGUUGGUGGGGUGAUGGCCUACCAAGGCGACGACGGAUAGCCGGCCUGAGAGGGUGAUCGGCCACACUGGGACUGAGACACGGCCCAGACUCCUACGGGAGGCAGCAGUGGGGAAUCUUGCGCAAUGGGCGGAAGCCUGACGCAGCAACGCCGCGUGAGGGAUGACGGCCUUCGGGUUGUAAACCUCUUUCGCGAUCGACGAAGGCCCGGUUUUUGCCGGGUUGACGGUAGGUCGAGAAGAAGCACCGGCCAACUACGUGCCAGCAGCCGCGGUAAUACGUAGGGUGCGAGCGUUGUCCGGAAUUAUUGGGCGUAAAGAGCUCGUAGGCGGUGUGUCGCGUCGGCCGUGAAAACCUGGGGCUUAACUCUGGGCGUGCGGUCGAUACGGGCAUCACUAGAGUUCGGCAGGGGAGACUGGAAUUCCUGGUGUAGCGGUGAAAUGCGCAGAUAUCAGGAGGAACACCGGUGGCGAAGGCGGGUCUCUGGGCCGAUACUGACGCUGAGGAGCGAAAGCAUGGGUAGCGAACAGGAUUAGAUACCCUGGUAGUCCAUGCCGUAAACGUUGGGCGCUAGGUGUGGGGUCCAUUCCACGGGUUCCGUGCCGCAGCUAACGCAUUAAGCGCCCCGCCUGGGGAGUACGGAAU
RNAcentral lists this ribosomal RNA (662 nucleotides) under uncultured Actinomycetes bacterium. RNAcentral's name for it is "bacterial SSU rRNA". It matches the Rfam family "Bacterial small subunit ribosomal RNA", at positions 229 to 888 of the family's 1533-position model. The record is from RNAcentral. Lineage: Bacteria; Bacillati; Actinomycetota; Actinomycetes.